AGCCUGGACGCUGGCGGCGUGGCUAAGACAUGCAAGUCGUACGGAUGUAGCAAUACAUCAGUGGCGAACGGGUGAGUAAUGAAUCGCUAACGUGCCCCGGACUCUGGGAUAGCCGGUCGAAAGGCCGGGUAAUACCAGAUGAUAUACCUCUAUCGCAUGAUAGAGGUCUCAAAGGUCCGCCGGUCUGGGAGCGGGCGAUUUCGUAUCAGCUAGUUGGUGAGGUAACGGCUCACCAAGGCGACGACGCGUAGCCGGACUGAGAGGUUGGCCGGCCACAUUGGGACUGAGACACUGCCCAGACUCCUACGGGGGCUGCAGUAACGAAUCUUCCGCAAUGCACGAAAGUGUGACGGAGCGACGCCGCGUGUGGGACGAAGCCCUUCGGGGUGUAAACCACUGUCAGAGGAAAGAAAGUUCUGAUCUACCUCAGAGGAAGAGGCGGCUAACUCUGCGCCAGCAGCCGCGGU
Molecule: ribosomal RNA, 467 nt
Filed under: uncultured bacterium
Lineage: Bacteria
Description: SSU rRNA
Rfam family: Bacterial small subunit ribosomal RNA
Source: RNAcentral